This 253-nucleotide ribosomal RNA is filed under the name uncultured bacterium. Its description in RNAcentral is "partial 16S ribosomal RNA". It matches the Rfam family "Bacterial small subunit ribosomal RNA", at positions 524 to 776 of the family's 1533-position model. The record is from RNAcentral.
UACGUAGGGUGCGAGCGUUGCCCGGAUUUAUUGGGCGUAAAGGGCGCGUAGGCGGUCACGCACGUCCGUUGUGAAAUCGCUCGGCACAACUGGGCGGGGUCAGCGGAUACGGCGUGGCUGGAGCAAGCUAGGGGGCAAUGGAAUUCCCGGUGUAGUGGUGGAAUGCGUAGAUAUCGGGAGGAACACCAGUGGCGAAGGCGGUUGCCUGGAGCUUUGCUGACGCUGAUGCGCGAAAGCGUGGGGAGCGAUCUGG